RNAcentral lists this ribosomal RNA (497 nucleotides) under uncultured bacterium. RNAcentral describes it as "partial 16S ribosomal RNA". It matches the Rfam family "Bacterial small subunit ribosomal RNA", at positions 28 to 507 of the family's 1533-position model. The record is from RNAcentral.
GACGAACGCUGGCGGCGUGCCUAAUACAUGCAAGUUGAGCGCUGAAGGUUGGUACUUGUACCAACUGGAUGAGCAGCGAACGGGUGAGUAACGCGUGGGGAAUCUGCCUUUGAGCGGGGGACAACAUUUGGAAACGAAUGCUAAUACCGCAUAAAAACUUUAAACACAAGUUUUAAGUUUGAAAGAUGCAAUUGCAUCACUCAAAGAUGAUCCCGCGUUGUAUUAGCUAGUUGGUGAGGUAAAGGCUCACCAAGGCGAUGAUACAUAGCCGACCUGAGAGGGUGAUCGGCCACAUUGGGGCUGAGACACGGCCCAAACUCCUACGGGAGGCAGCAGUAGGGAAUCUUCGGCAAUGGACGAAAGUCUGACCGAGCAACGCCGCGUGAGUGAAGAAGGUUUUCGGAUCGUAAAACUCUGUUGGUAGAGAAGAACGUUGGUGAGAGUGGAAAGCUCAUCAAGUGACAGUAACUACCCAGAAAGGGACGGCUAACUACGUG